This 253-nucleotide ribosomal RNA is filed under the name uncultured bacterium. RNAcentral describes it as "partial 16S ribosomal RNA". It matches the Rfam family "Bacterial small subunit ribosomal RNA", at positions 524 to 776 of the family's 1533-position model. The record is from RNAcentral.
UACAGAGGUCCCAAGCGUUGUUCGGAUUCACUGGGCGUAAAGGGUGCGUAGGUGGCCAGGUAAGUUCGGUGUGAAAGCUCGGAGCUUAACUCCGAAAUGGCAUUGAAUACUAUCUGGCUAGAGGGUCGGAGGGGAGACUGGAAUUCUCGGUGUAGCAGUGAAAUGCGUAGAUAUCGUAAGGAAGACCAGUGGCGAAGGCGAAUCUCUGGACAGUUACUGACACUGAGGCACGAAGGCCAGGGGAGCAAACGGG